ACAGGAUUAGAUACCCUGGUAGUCCACGCCGUAAACGAUGGAUACUAGCUGUUGGGAGCAAUCUCAGUGGCUAAGCGAAAGUGAUAAGUAUCCCACCUGGGGAGUACGUUCGCAAGAAUGAAACUCAAAGGAAUUGACGGGGGCCCGCACAAGCGGUGGAGCAUGUGGUUUAAUUCGAUGAUACGCGAGGAACCUUACCAAGGCUUAAAUGUAGAUUGACCGGUUUGGAAACAGAUCUUUCGCAAGACAAUUUACAAGGUGCUGCAUGGUUGUCGUCAGCUCGUGCCGUGAGGUGUCAGGUUAAGUCCUAUAACGAGCGCAACCCCUGUUGUUAGUUGCCAGCGAGUCAUGUCGGGAACUCUAACAAGACUGCCAGUGCAAACUU
RNAcentral lists this ribosomal RNA (385 nucleotides) under Flavobacterium sp. AD47. RNAcentral's name for it is "bacterial SSU rRNA". It matches the Rfam family "Bacterial small subunit ribosomal RNA", at positions 772 to 1164 of the family's 1533-position model. The record is from RNAcentral. Lineage: Bacteria; Pseudomonadati; Bacteroidota; Flavobacteriia; Flavobacteriales; Flavobacteriaceae.